This 267-nucleotide ribosomal RNA is filed under the name uncultured bacterium. RNAcentral describes it as "partial 16S ribosomal RNA". It matches the Rfam family "Bacterial small subunit ribosomal RNA", at positions 524 to 790 of the family's 1533-position model. The record is from RNAcentral.
UACGUAGGAUGCGAGCGUUGUCCGGAAUUAUUGGGCGCAAAGCGAACGUAGGCGGCCUGGUAAGUUUGGUCUUAAAGACCGGGGCCCAACCCCGGGAAUGGAUCGAAUACUGUCAGGCUGGAGUACGCUAGAGGAUGGUGGAAUUCCAAGUGUAGCGGUGAAAUGCGUAGAUAUUUGGAGGAACACCGGUGGCGAAAGCGACCAUCUGGGGCGUUACUGACGCUGAGGUUCGAAAGCUCGGGGAGCAAACAGGAUUAGAAACCCGGG